UUGGAGGGCAAGUCUGGUGCCGGCAGCCGCGGUAAUUCCAGCUCCAAUAGCGUAUAUUAAAGUUGUUGCAGUUAAAAAGCUCGUAGUUGAAUUUCGGGAUCAAUAUUUCGGUCAUGCCGUUGGUAUGCACUGUUAUCAUUGAUUUCUCACCUUCUAAAGAACCGUAAUGCCAUUAAUUUGGUGUUACGGGGAAUUAGGACUGUUACCUUGAAAAAAUUAGAGUGUUUAAAGCAGGCUCACGCUUGAAUACAUUAGCAUGGAAUAAUGAAAUAGGACAUCCGAUUCUAUUUUGUUGGUUUCUAGGAUCGAUGUAAUGAUUAAUAGGGAUAGUUGGGGGCAUUAGUAUUCAAUUGUCAGAGGUGAAAUUCUUGGAUUUAUUGAAGACUAACUACUGCGAAAGCAUUUGCCAAGGAUGUUUUCAUUAAUCAAGAACGAAAGUUAGGGGAUCGAAGACGAUCAGAUACCGUCGUAGUCUUAACCAUAAACUAUGCCGACUAGGGAUCGGAUGAUGUUAAUUUUUUAAUGACUCAUUCGGCGCCUUACGGGAAAC
Molecule: ribosomal RNA, 550 nt
Filed under: uncultured Glomus
Lineage: Eukaryota; Fungi; Glomeromycota; Glomeromycetes; Glomerales; Glomeraceae
Description: SSU rRNA
Rfam family: Eukaryotic small subunit ribosomal RNA
Source: RNAcentral